GAUGAACGCUGGCGGCGUGCCUAAUACAUGCAAGUCGAGCGAACAGACGAGGAGCUUGCUCCUCUGACGUUAGCGGCGGACGGGUGAGUAACACGUGGAUAACCUACCUAUAAGACUGGGAUAACUUCGGGAAACCGGAGCUAAUACCGGAUAAUAUAUUGAACCGCAUGGUUCAAUAGUGAAAGACGGUUUUGCUGUCACUUAUAGAUGGAUCCGCGCCGCAUUAGCUAGUUGGUAAGGUAAUGGCUUACCAAGGCAACGAUGCGUAGCCGACCUGAGAGGGUGAUCGGCCACACUGGAACUGAGACACGGUCCAGACUCCUACGGGAGGCAGCAGUAGGGAAUCUGCCGCAAUGGGCGAAAGCCUGACGGAGCAACGCCGCGUGAGUGAUGAAGGUCUUCGGAUCGUAAAACUCUGUUAUUAGGGAAGAACAAAUGUGUAAGUAACUAUGCACGUCUUGACGGUACCUAAUCAGAAAGCCACGGCUAACUACGUGCCAGCAGCCGCGGUAA
This 513-nucleotide ribosomal RNA is filed under the name uncultured bacterium. RNAcentral's name for it is "partial 16S ribosomal RNA". It matches the Rfam family "Bacterial small subunit ribosomal RNA", at positions 28 to 523 of the family's 1533-position model. The record is from RNAcentral.